This is a non-coding RNA of Vibrio vulnificus YJ016, 100 nucleotides long. Lineage: Bacteria; Pseudomonadati; Pseudomonadota; Gammaproteobacteria; Vibrionales; Vibrionaceae. The record is from Rfam.
GGAGGAACCUCUGGAGAGAACCGUUAAAUCGGUCGCCGAAGGAGCAAGUCCUGCCCAUGUGCAGGGUGAAACUCUCAGGCAAAAGGACAGAGGAGUGGAA